GCGUGGGUGAAGAAGGUCUUCGGAUUGUAAAGCCCUUUCGGCGGGGACGAUGAUGACGGUACCCGCAGAAGAAGCCCCGGCUAACUUCGUGCCAGCAGCCGCGGUAAUACGAAGGGGGCUAGCGUUGCUCGGAAUUACUGGGCGUAAAGGGCGCGUAGGCGGCCUGCUUAGUCCGGCGUGAAAUUCCUGGGCUCAACCUGGGGACUGCGCUGGAGACGGGUGGGCUUGAGGGCAGGAGAGGCUCGCGGAAUUCCCAGUGUAGAGGUGAAAUUCGU
This 275-nucleotide ribosomal RNA is filed under the name uncultured bacterium. RNAcentral describes it as "partial 16S ribosomal RNA". It matches the Rfam family "Bacterial small subunit ribosomal RNA", at positions 399 to 691 of the family's 1533-position model. The record is from RNAcentral.